RNAcentral lists this long non-coding RNA (303 nucleotides) under Panax ginseng (ginseng). RNAcentral describes it as "long non-coding RNA (PGIN_LNC005872)". Lineage: Eukaryota; Viridiplantae; Streptophyta; Magnoliopsida; Apiales; Araliaceae. The record is from RNAcentral.
UAUGGUAUAUCUAUACAUCUUUACUAAUAAUAAAAAACUAUCAUCUCAUUUGUUAGUAAAACUUUACUUCAUCUAUAUCUUUCAUUCAUCUCCAAAUUUGCUAAAUAAAAGCAGUAGAGAGAGAGAGUAGAGGGCAUUUUUGACAGUCACGAGGAGGUAAAGGGAGAGGGAAUUUCAUCUUCAUACACCCUAGAUUCAUCAACUACUUUGGAAGAUCUAAGAAUGAUAGCCAUUAAAUUAAGGUAAAAACUCUAGAUAUUAAGAUUUUGUUUUUAUUUCUUGUGAUGGUUUGAUAAAAUAGAG